RNAcentral lists this ribosomal RNA (497 nucleotides) under uncultured bacterium. RNAcentral's name for it is "partial 16S ribosomal RNA". It matches the Rfam family "Bacterial small subunit ribosomal RNA", at positions 28 to 507 of the family's 1533-position model. The record is from RNAcentral.
GAUGAACGCUGGCGGCGUGCCUAAUACAUGCAAGUCGAGCGAACAGAUGAGGAGCUUGCUCCUCUGACGUUAGCGGCGGACGGGUGAGUAACACGUGGAUAACCUACCUAUAAGACUGGGAUAACUUCGGGAAACCGGAGCUAAUACCGGAUAAUAUAUUGAACCGCAUGGUUCAAUAGUGAAAGACGGUUUUGCUGUCACUUAUAGAUGGAUCCGCGCCGCAUUAGCUAGUUGGUAAGGUAACGGCUUACCAAGGCAACGAUGCGUAGCCGACCUGAGAGGGUGAUCUGCCACACUGGAACUGAAGCACGGUCCAGACUCCUACGGGAGGCAGCAGUAGGGAAUCUUCCGCAAUGGGCGAAAGCCUGACGGAGCAACGCCGCGUGAGGGAUGAAGGUCUUCGGAUCGUAAAACUCUUUUAUUAGGGAAGAACAAAUGCGUAAGUAACUAUGCACGUCUUGGCGGUACCUAAUCAGAAAGCCACGGCUAACUACGUG